This 1321-nucleotide long non-coding RNA is filed under the name Phasianus colchicus (ring-necked pheasant). Its description in RNAcentral is "lncRNA (ENSPCLG00000021418.1)". Lineage: Eukaryota; Metazoa; Chordata; Aves; Galliformes; Phasianidae. The record is from RNAcentral.
CUUUGCACAAGCCUUCCUAUACUCCAAGUAUUUUUGUGGUGAUUGAACCAUGAUGAGAUAAAAGCUUGUGGGGAGUCAGGUGAACUACUUCAUGUCUUCACCUCCAGGAAUGGAGACGCACAACUGCAUGCAAUUAGUUCAUUGUUUAUGGUAGCAAAGAACAAGUCUCCUUACAGUCAGUCAAUGUUUGUGUUUGUAUAUAAUAGCUAAUUCUAGCUUUGUUCAAGUUCUAGGAAAAAGGUGUUUUUGAUUUACCCAAGAGAAAGUCCUCCAAUUAUAUACCAACAGGAUAAGCACUGAGUUGUUGAUUUGAAUCUAACACCAAUUUAUUGUGGAUAAUGGUGUCUGGAGAGAAUGAUAUAUAGAUAAAUACUAGCAUAAUAAAAGAUAACAUCAAUCUUAAAAGCUUUGUCUUGCUUGCAUAUUUAAAUCACCAGGAGCUACAAAAGUACUAGCAGAAGGUUUGCAUGACAGAGAGCUGUUGGUGAUGGAAUAUCCAAAAACUGCAUGGGGCAUUUGAGCCACUGCGAUCAGGUUGAAGCAGAUGAAUUCAGCCUGGUAGUUUUGAAAAGUGUCAUAAACACCAGAAAACUGGAAGGAGUUUAUUGCUUGGAUACCACUAAGGCCACCUUUGCACCAGUGUUGCAGUAGCAGUAUCAGUUUAAUUAGAAGCUUACUGUGUGACUCCCACAAACCAACUGAUUAUUGACGCGGGGAAACUACUGGAGCAAGAAAGUUAUAUGAAGAUGAUAGAAGAGAGGGAGAUUUUUAAGGCUAGAGCUGCUGAAAGGAGUAUUUGCAGAGACAUCUAAAGAUCCAGUCCUGUUGAACAAAACUGACUUAUAAGGAGGCUACAAAUAUUCAGCCUUUGUAUAGCUUCAGCAUCAUUUUCAGUGAGUUCAUAUCCCUGUGCAGAGGCAGUCAUGCAUCCGUUCAUGCUCGGAGAAGAUCAGUCUCUGUUCUGUUCUAUGUGUUCAGGAGUGGCCUUGCCACAAACUGGAUGAGAAACAGCACAUUUCAGUUUGGAUCAAACUUCACACCGCUGCGGCUUCCUGACCAGAGUUGGCUCGCAUCUAAUUGAUUUGGAAAAUAUACUGUUAGAAUUAGUUCCCAUGGGGAAAUGAGUUCUGCUGACUGAUCUCAUUGGUCAGAGUAAAAUAAUGCACAGUGUAAAAUAUACAUAGCAAUUAAAGAACAAGGGUGUUUUCAGUGAAAACUAGAAGAAAAGAAAUAUUUAUCUUCUAUUGUCAUUUUUCGUAAAAUUGAAUAUGCUGUAACUGAGAUAUUUUUUUUUUCUUUUUUCUGUUUUGUGAAGUAAAUU